AAAACUCUGAAAUACUGGAUGCUAUAGAGGUUAACUCUCGGGUUACUGAUGUCGUACAGGACUUAAGUGGGAUUUACACUUCUGCGUGGGCUACCCGUCGACGCCGUAGCCUACACUACACCUCCACAGAAAUUGGAGCUGAUCUCUGUGGCUGCUAAAGUUGCUGGAGUUUGGAGACAAAGAUGGGACUCUCAUGGACGCCCAUAAACACCCGGGCGCACGCACGCAGAGACACACCAAAAGGAUGGAAGGACGUAUUCAAAGAUCCAAAGAUGUAUGGGAUACCGUAAAUCUUCAAUGCAGGCUGCAGAGACUCCUCCGUUAAUCAAAGUCAGUGGUGCAGAGACACUGAAUCAUGCAGGGGCAAAGGCCUAGGAGCUGGUUAGUAAACCUGCACUAUCAACCCCGCACCAGAUCCCCCAUCAAAAUAAAUACAGUGGCAGCCUAUAGAUCAGCGGGAUCAUAUUGUAUGUGUAGUGUCAUGAGUUCACUCGAGCUUGGCUUUUGACCUGCAGCCAUAUGGGAAUGUCAUGGAGUACAG
Epinephelus fuscoguttatus (brown-marbled grouper) is the source of this 541-nucleotide long non-coding RNA. RefSeq lists it as uncharacterized. Lineage: Eukaryota; Metazoa; Chordata; Actinopteri; Perciformes; Serranidae. The record is from RefSeq and is a predicted model, not a curated record. The transcript has 3 exons.